RNAcentral lists this ribosomal RNA (446 nucleotides) under uncultured bacterium. RNAcentral describes it as "partial 16S ribosomal RNA". It matches the Rfam family "Bacterial small subunit ribosomal RNA", at positions 338 to 795 of the family's 1533-position model. The record is from RNAcentral.
CCUACGGGAGGCAGCAGUCGAGAAUCAUUCACAAUGGGGGAAACCCUGAUGGUGCGAUGCCGCGUGGGGGAAUGAAGGUCUUCGGAUUGUAAACCCCUGUCAUGUGGGAGCAAAUUAAAAAGAUAGUACCACAAGAGGAAGAGACGGCUAACUCUGUGCCAGCAGCCGCGGUAAUACAGAGGUCUCAAGCGUUGUUCGGAAUCACUGGGCGUAAAGCGUGCGUAGGCUGUUUCGUAAGUCGUGUGUGAAAGGCGCGGGCUCAACCCGCGGACGGCACAUGAUACUGCGAGACUAGAGUAAGGGAGGGGGAACCGGAAUUCUAGGUGUAGCAGUGAAAUGCGUAGAUAUCGGGAGGAACACUCGUGGCGAAGGCGGGUUCCUGGACAUUAACUGACGCUGAGGCACGAAGGCCAGGGGAGCGAAAGGGAUUAGAUACCCUGGUAGUC